GCCGAAGUGGCGGAAUCGGUAGACGCGCUACGUUCAGGGCGUAGUGAGCCUUGCGCUCGUGUGAGUUCGAGUCUCACCUUCGGCACCA
RNAcentral lists this transfer RNA (88 nucleotides) under Chloroflexota bacterium. RNAcentral describes it as "Chloroflexi bacterium tRNA-Leu". It matches the Rfam family "tRNA". From Rfam's summary of the family: Transfer RNA (tRNA) molecules are approximately 80 nucleotides in length. Their secondary structure includes four short double-helical elements and three loops (D, anti-codon, and T loops). RNAcentral also lists the same sequence under 1 other name. Lineage: Bacteria; Bacillati; Chloroflexota. The record is from RNAcentral.